Molecule: long non-coding RNA, 684 nt
Filed under: Papio anubis (olive baboon)
Lineage: Eukaryota; Metazoa; Chordata; Mammalia; Primates; Cercopithecidae
Description: lncRNA (ENSPANG00000050871.1)
Source: RNAcentral
AUGCCUGACUUAAAAUCCCUGGCCUGGAAGAGACACCACUCUUGCUAUGUUAUUGGGAUGAAGGAAGGAUGGUCACAUGGAAAAUGGCGAGAAGUCUGCCUACCACUGUGGAAAUCUCAGCUUUCCUGGCACAUCUAGUAAAACUUUGAGGUUUGUUUUAUCUUGAGUGAACCACUGAAUCUAUAACUAACAAACUGAUUUUAAAGCAACAGCUUCCCCUGGAGCCCAGUGCUGUGGUGUUUUGGAGUCAGGCGUGAAUCUAAGCUCAUGUUGACCACCACCUAGUUGUCUCAGGUGGGUCAAUUCAUUUACUUAAGAGCAAUGAGCUUUUGUUUCCACAGCUGUAAAAUACACAAUUCCCUUCUUAACUGGAUUUAUAAAAGUUACAAAACUUAUAAAUACUUUUUAUAAACUGUCAAAAAAUACAGAUGUGUAUGAAGAGUUGUUAUUCUUACCUGUCAUUCCAGCCAUCCUGAUGUAAUUAAUAUUUUGAUGUGAAUCCUCAUUUGUCUUUCUCUAUAUGCUUUCAAGUUUAUAGCAAUAUAGCAUCUUACCACAUAUUGAGAGCUCAAAAAAUCUAUGUUAAGUGAAUAAAAUAAGGUAUAUAUAUAUAUAUAGACACACACACACACAGAGAUAUAUUAUACACAGGAGUUUUUCCUUUUUAUAAAAAUAAGACCUGAC